Molecule: ribosomal RNA, 398 nt
Filed under: uncultured bacterium
Lineage: Bacteria
Description: partial 16S ribosomal RNA
Rfam family: Bacterial small subunit ribosomal RNA
Source: RNAcentral
AUACGUAGGGUGCGAGCGUUGUCCGGAAUUACUGGGCGUAAAGAGCUCGUAGGCGGUUUGUCGCGUCGUCUGUGAAAUUCCGGGGCUUAACUCCGGGCGUGCAGGCGAUACGGGCAUAACUUGAGUACUGUAGGGGAGACUGGAAUUCCUGGGGUAGCGGUGAAAUGCGCGGAUAUCAGGAGGAACACCGGUGGCGAAGGCGGGUCUCUGGGCAGUAACUGACGCUGAGGAGCGAAAGCAUGGGUAGCGAACAGGAUUAGAUGCCCUGGUAGUCCAUGCCGUAAACGGUGGGCGCUAGGUGUAGGGGUCUUCCACGACUUCUGUGCCGUAGCUAACGCAUUAAGCGCCCCGCCUGGGGAGUACGGCCGCAAGGCUAAAACUUAAAGGAAUUGACGGGG